AUUGAACGCUGGCGGCAGGCCUAACACAUGCAAGUCGAACGGUAACAGGAAGAAGCUUGCUUCUUUGCUGACGAGUGGCGGACGGGUGAGUAAUGUCUGGGAAACUGCCUGAUGGAGGGGGAUAACUACUGGAAACGGUACCUAAUACCGCAUAACGUCGCAAGACCAAAGAGGGGGACCUUCGGGCCUCUUGCCAUCGGAUGUGCCCAGAUGGGAUUAGCUAGUAGGUGGGGUAACGGCUCACCUAGGCGACGAUCCCUAGCUGGUCUGAGAGGAUGACCAGCCACACUGGAACUGAGACACGGUCCAGACUCCUACGGGAGGCAGCAGUGGGGAAUAUUGCACAAUGGGCGCAAGCCUGAUGCAGCCAUGCCGCGUGUAUGAAGAAGGCCUUCGGGUUGUAAAGUACUUUCAGCGGGGAGGAAGGGAGUAAAGUUAAUACCUUUGCUCAUUGACGUUACCCGCAGAAGAAGCACCGGCUAACUCCGUG
This 490-nucleotide ribosomal RNA is filed under the name uncultured bacterium. RNAcentral describes it as "partial 16S ribosomal RNA". It matches the Rfam family "Bacterial small subunit ribosomal RNA", at positions 30 to 507 of the family's 1533-position model. The record is from RNAcentral.